GCCGGCGUAGCUCAAUUGGUAGAGCAAUUGACUUGUAAUCAAUAGGUCGCGGGUUCGAGUCCCAUCGCCGGCUCCA
Molecule: transfer RNA, 76 nt
Filed under: Fusibacter sp. A1
Lineage: Bacteria; Bacillati; Bacillota; Clostridia; Eubacteriales; Fusibacteraceae
Also listed under: 1 other name
Description: tRNA-Thr
Rfam family: tRNA
About the family: Transfer RNA (tRNA) molecules are approximately 80 nucleotides in length. Their secondary structure includes four short double-helical elements and three loops (D, anti-codon, and T loops).
Source: RNAcentral